This 253-nucleotide ribosomal RNA is filed under the name uncultured bacterium. RNAcentral describes it as "partial 16S ribosomal RNA". It matches the Rfam family "Bacterial small subunit ribosomal RNA", at positions 524 to 776 of the family's 1533-position model. The record is from RNAcentral.
UACAGAGGUCUCAAGCGUUGUUCGGAUUCAUUGGGCGUAAAGGGUGCGUAGGCGGCGCGGUAAGUCGGAUGUGAAAUCUCGGAGCUUAACUUCGAAACUGCAUUCGAUACUGCCGUGCUUGAGGACUGGAGAGGAGACUGGAAUUUACGGUGUAGCGGUGAAAUGCGUAGAUAUCGUAAGGAAGACCAGUGGCGAAGGCGGAUCUCUGGGCCAUUACUGACGCUGAGGAGCGAAAGCGUGGGGAGCGAACAGG